GACGAACGCUGGCGGCGUGCUUAACACAUGCAAGUCGAACGGAAAGGCCCUGCUUUUGUUGGGUGCUCGAGUGGCGAACGGGUGAGUAACACGUGAGUAACCUGCCCUUGACUUUGGGAUAACUUCAGGAAACUGGGGCUAAUACCGGAUAGGAGCUCCUGCUGCAUGGUGGGGGUUGGAAAGUUUCGGCGGUUGGGGAUGGACUCGCGGCUUAUCAGCUUGUUGGUGGGGUAGUGGCUUACAAAGUCUUUGACGGGUAGCCGGCCUGUGAGGGUGACCGGCCACAUUGGGACUGAGAGACGGCCCAGAAGCCUACGGGAGGCAGCAGUGGGGAAUAUGGCACAAUAGGCGGAAGCCUGAGGCAGCAACGCCGCGUGCGGGAUGACGGCCUUCGGGUUGUAAACCGCUGUCGCCUGUGACGAAGCGUGAGUGACGGUAAUGGGUAAAGAAGCACCGGCUAACUACGUG
RNAcentral lists this ribosomal RNA (468 nucleotides) under uncultured bacterium. Its description in RNAcentral is "partial 16S ribosomal RNA". It matches the Rfam family "Bacterial small subunit ribosomal RNA", at positions 28 to 507 of the family's 1533-position model. The record is from RNAcentral.